This 494-nucleotide ribosomal RNA is filed under the name uncultured bacterium. RNAcentral's name for it is "partial 16S ribosomal RNA". It matches the Rfam family "Bacterial small subunit ribosomal RNA", at positions 28 to 507 of the family's 1533-position model. The record is from RNAcentral.
GACGAACGCUGGCGGCGCGCUUAACACAUGCAAGUCGAACGGAAAGGCCUGCUUUCCCUUGUGGAUUGCGGGUACUCGAGUGGCGAACGGGUGAGUAACACGUGAGUGAUCUGCCCCCAACUUGGGUAUAAGCCUGGGAAACUGGGUCUAAUUCCCGAUAGGACUGCAGGGUGGUGCCUGUGGUGGAAAACGAUUUUCUAGUGGUUGGGGAUGAGCUCGCGGCCUAUCAGCUUGUUGGUGGGGUAAUGGCCUACCAAGGCGGCGACGGGUAGCCGGCCUGGGAGGGUGGACGGCCACAUUGGGACUGAGAUACGGCCCAGACUCCUACGGGAGGCAGCAGUGGGGAAUAUUGCACAAUGGGCGGAAGCCUGAUGCAGUGACGCCGCGUGGGGGAUGACGGCCUUCGGGUUGUAAACUCCUUUCGACCGCGAGGAAGCCACCUGGUUGGAAGGGUGGUGACGGUAGUGGUAGAAGAAGCACCGGCUAACUACGUG